This is a long non-coding RNA of Equus caballus (horse), 1916 nucleotides long. RefSeq lists it as uncharacterized. NCBI's taxonomy places the organism in Eukaryota, Metazoa, Chordata, Mammalia, Perissodactyla, Equidae. The record is from RefSeq and is a predicted model, not a curated record.
GGGGUGGGGAGGUCUGAACACAGCUUCUGGGCAUCCGCGCCUUUCUCAGCCUCACCUUGACCCUCUGGAAAAUGGAUCGAGCCAUCACUAGGAGAUGCCGCGGCAGGCAGGAGCCGUCAGAAAAUUGGAGGGCUGCGCUAGAGGGUCAGGUCGCAAAUACAGGGGACAGGAGACGUCAGACGCUGGGAAAAACUUCCCAACCUUGCGCAGGAGACACAUCCACAGUCACCAGCAUCGGAAAGAAAGAAUGUCCCCCGCUCCACCCACCCCUCAUCAGCGACGAGGGCCAAAGCUCCAGGCACCUGUAUUAAAAUGAGCCGGUGCUUUGGAGGAAAGAGAGGAAGAGACCCGCUCCCCUAGUCCUCUGAACCCUGGAAUCCCGCUCCCAGGAAGAAUGACCCGAAGGAGUCUGCAGAGCAUGCUCCCCCCCACCCCACACACACACACCCCAACCUGGGUCUUGGGCUGCAAAGUCCCCUCCCCUGGCCACUCAUCUAUGCCCCUCCUGGCGAAGUUCAAGCAUUCCACUAAGGAGAGUACAGUUUAGGGGUCAGCUCACUUUGAGACAGGAGAAGCUGUGAUGAAAGCACCCACCAGCCUGGGAACCAGGCUCCCUAGGUUUGAAUAUAGCCAUGGCACCUGCUGUCUGAUUUUCCUUCUGACUCAAUUUUUCUCAUUUGUGAAAUGGGGGUGAUAAUAGCUACGUCAGAGGGUUGUUAGGAGGACUAGAUGAGUAAAGGAUCUAGAACAGUGUGUGACAUUUGCAUCAUGUAAAUGUUUAUUGUCUGAUUUUGAAUUUUAUAGGAGCCCUGUGAAAUAGGCAGGGCAGAUGCUAGAGAGAGAGAGACUCGCUCAAGGUAACCAAGUUGGUAAAUGGCAGAGUUAGGGUUCCAAUCCUGAAAAUCCUAACCCCAGGUCCAGGGUCAGCCUCACUCCAGCAUAGCUGUCUCCCACUUGAGGACCCGGACAGAACCCCAGGCUAGCUGGGUGGGCGCUCACAAAGAUGGAUCCUCAGGUGAGGAGAUCCGGGUGGUCCUCCAGUCACCCCUGUAAGCCCCAGGUGUUCAGACUUUGAGGCUUCCAGGUCAUCUGCCUAGGCUGGUUUUGGACACUAAAUUAAACCAGACGCCUUGGGUCAGGGUGAGCAGGGGGUAGACAGAAUGUACGGGGUGCUCCAAAGAAUGACAAGAGCUCACUUUUAUUGAGCGUCACCUUUGUGCCAGGCACGUGCUAAGUGCUUGACUUGGAUUAUCCCAUUAAAAUUCAUCAUAACCCUAUGGCGUGGUUACUGUCGUAACUGCUGAUUUGCAGAUGAAAACAUGGAAGCAGGGAGCUUAAACAUCUUGUCUAAAAUGCACUGCCUCCUCCAGCAGUUCGAGGCACAAUGUGCCUGUCACUGUUUUGGUGCCCUGGUCCUCACUUCCAGGAAAAGAAAAUAUGCUAACAUUUCUUGAAUGUUGUGAUGGCUCUUCUUAUCCUAGGAUGAAACUGCCGUCUGCGUUGGCCUUUACACCUCUUCCCCCCUUGCCCUCCAAAGAAUUUGUGUGAAGGUGUGUAUGUGGGGGUGCAGACAGUUAGUCAGGCCUGAUUAAAGGCAUCCUUUCUGUCCAGAUAAGUUUCAGGCGUAGGAUCUCAGCCCACUGUCUCUCUUCCUCUUCACCUCGUCCCUCAGCUCUUCCUGCUAGCCCUGACCUAGAGGUUCCCUCAGCUCUCAGGGAUGAAUUCCUUGCCUCCUCCCCGCCCCCCCAUCCCAAUACAUACACAAGGGGCUGGGGCCCACGGAGACAGUAAGAUGGGGCUGGGGAGGGGUUGGAAAGUGAGCAGGGCACUCGCACUCGGAGGUCAGGGAGCACCUGUCCUCCUACUGUAAUCUCUUUUUCCUCUCUGCUUCCCCCAACUCUUUUUUUUUUUUUUAA